Parasteatoda tepidariorum (common house spider) is the source of this 513-nucleotide long non-coding RNA. RefSeq lists it as uncharacterized. NCBI's taxonomy places the organism in Eukaryota, Metazoa, Arthropoda, Arachnida, Araneae, Theridiidae. The record is from RefSeq and is a predicted model, not a curated record.
UUUUUCCACAAGUAUGUUGCUAAUAGUAAUACUUAAAAACUUUUUCAAAAUUUAAUUUAUAGCUACUGAAAGAUUCUAAAAUGUAGUAUGGAUCCAAAUUCCAUUGGCAUGUCUAUAGUUCAGAAAAAAAGAAAAUUUCAAGUUAAAAGAAGACAUGAUGAUACAAUCUUCCAAGCACCAAAAUCAAAAGCGGCGAAGAAAGAAUUUAUUAGAAAGGAAACUAAGUCUUCAUCGAAAAAGACUCAAAAUGGGAAAAAAGCCAAACCAAUACCUAAAACUCUGAAGAAAAGCAACAGAAAGCAAUUGAAGAAAACAAAGAAGCAAGCAUCACCGAGUAUAUCGGAUUUUAGUUCUGAAUCAGAAUAUGACUGUCCAAACUUCAAAUUUAGAGCAUAUUUUUCUUGAAUCUCAUCUUUCAUGCGAUUUCAAAUGAAUGAGUAGUAACCUAUUUAACUAACCGCUUAUAAAAUUCGAGGUUUUUCUACGUAAAAUAAAGUUAUGUUUUUUAUUAUU